UAGGAUAGAGGCCUACCAUGGUGGUAACGGGUAACGGGGUGUUAGGGCACGACACCGGAGAGGGGGCCUGAGAAACGGCUACCACAUCCAAGGAUGGCAGCAGGCGCGCAAAUUACCCAAUCCCGACACGGGGAGGUAGUGACAAUAAAUAACAAUACGGGAUUCUUUCGGAUCUCGUAAUUGGAAUGAGUACAAUUUAAAUCUCUUAACGAGGAACAAUUGGAGGGCAAGUCUGGUGCCAGCAGCCGCGGCAAUUCCAGCUCCAAUAGCGUAUAUUAAAGUUGUUGCAGUUAAAAAGCUCGUAGUUGAAUUUCGGGGUUAGUAGGUUGGUCAUGCCUCUGGUAUGUACUGGUCUCACUGAUUCCUCCUUCCUUAUGAACCGUAAUGCCAUUAAUUUGGUGUUGCGGGGAAUUUGGACUGUUACUUUGAAAAAAUUAGAGUGUUUAAAGCAAGCUAACGCUUGAAUACAUUAGCAUGGAAUAAUGAAAUAGGACGUUCGAUCUUAUUUUGUUGGCUUCUAGGAUUGACGUAAUGAUUAAUAGGGAUAGUUGGGGGCAUUAGUAUUCAAUUGUCAGAGGUGAAAUUCUUGGAUUUAUUGAAGACUAACUACUGCGAAAGCAUUUGCCAAGGAUGUUUUCAUUAAUCAAGAACGAAAGUUAGGGGAUCGAAGACGAUCAGAUACCGUCGUAGUCUUAACCAUAAACUAUGCCGACUAGG
Molecule: ribosomal RNA, 717 nt
Filed under: uncultured fungus
Lineage: Eukaryota; Fungi
Description: SSU rRNA
Rfam family: Eukaryotic small subunit ribosomal RNA
Source: RNAcentral